This 1880-nucleotide ribosomal RNA is filed under the name human gut metagenome. RNAcentral's name for it is "bacterial LSU rRNA". It matches the Rfam family "Bacterial large subunit ribosomal RNA", at positions 3 to 1980 of the family's 2925-position model. The record is from RNAcentral.
UCAAGCUACAAAGAGCUUAAGGUGAAUGCCUUGGCACUGGGAGCCGAAGAAGGACGUGGCAAGCUGCGAAAAGCUGCGGGGAGUUGCAAGCAAACAUUGAUCCGCAGAUGUCCGAAUGGAGCAAUCCACAUAGGGUAACGCCUAUGUAUCAUACAGUGAAUCUAUAGCUGUAUGAGGGGAACCGCCUGAACUGAAACAUCUAAGUAGGGCGAGGAAGAGAAAUCAAACGAGAUUCCGCUAGUAGUGGCGAGCGAACGCGGAAGAGGCCAAACUGAGAGCAGCAAUGUUCUCAGGGUUAGGACUGCAUUUAGCAUUGACAAAGGUUAGCUGAACUGCAUGGGAAGGCAGACUGGAAAGGGUGAGAGUCCCGUAAGCGAAAACUAAAGUCAGCGAGCAGUAUCCAGAGUACCGCAAGACACGUGAAACCUUGUGGGAAGAUGGGGGGACCACCCUCCAAGCCUAAAUACUACCCAGUGACCGAUAGUGCAGAGUACUGUGAAGGAAAGGUGAAAAGGACCCCGGGAGGGGAGUGAAAUAGAACCUGAAACCUUGUGCCUACAAGCACAUAGAGCACAUCAACGUGUGAUAUGGUACUUUUUGUAGAACGGUCCGGCGAGCGAUUGUAUGUUGCGAGCUUAAGGUCUUAAGGACUGGAGGCGCAGCGAGAGCGAGUCUGAAGAGGGCGUUCAGUAACAUGCAAUGGGCCCGAAACCGGGUGACCUACCCAUGAUCAGGCUGAAGUGAAAGUAAAAUUUCAUGGAGGGCCGAACCGACCUCCGUUGAAAAGGCGGCGGAUGAAUUGUGGGUAGCGGAGAAAUUCCAAUCGAACUCGGAGAUAGCUGGUUCUCCCCGAAAUAGCUUUAGGGCUAGCCUCAUAUUAGAUACCCGGAGGUAAAGCACUGAAUGGCCUAGCGCCCGAGAGGGUAGCGAAGCCUAUCAAACUAAGAAUGCCGGAGUAUUGAUGUAUGGGAGUCAGACAGUGUGAGAUAAAUCUCAUUGUCAAAAGGGAAACAGCCCAGAUCUACAGCUAAGGUCCCAAAUUGUAUCUAAGUGGAAAACGAUGUGGAAAUACGCAGACAACCAGGAUGUUGGCUCAGAAGCAGCCACUCAUUUAAAGAGUGCGUAAUAGCUCACUGGUCGAGCGUCUCUGCGCGGAAAAUUUAACGGGGCUAAGAUACAAACCGAAGCUUAGGCUGCACGUAAGUGCGGGGUAGGGGAGCGUUGUGUAAGCGGAGAAACAGUAGCGUAAGCGGCUGUGGAGUUUACAGAAGUGAGAAUGCCGGAAUGAGUAGCGCGAAUGUGGUGAGAAUCCACAUGGCCGGAAACCUCAGGUUUUUGGAGGAAGGUUCGUCCGCUCCAAGUUAGGCGGGAGCUAAGGUCAGGCCGAAAGGCGUAGCCGAUGCACAGACGGUAGAGAUUCCGUCCCCACCGAAAGAUUUAAGCACAGGGACACUUUUUGAAGGUCGGAGCCAGGUGUUGGUUCUGGUAGAGAUCGAGGGAAAUAUAGUACCGAAGUCCGGCUGGAAGAGAGGCGAGAAAAGCUGUGUGUAUAUCUAAGGUGCCCGUACCGCAAACCGACACAGGUAGGUAGGAAGAAGAUUCUAAGGCCAACGGGAGAAGGGUUGUUAAGGAACUCGGCAAAUUGACCCCGUAACUUCGGGAGAAGGGGUGCUCCAGAGAUGGAGCCGCAGAGAAUCGGCCCAAGCAACUGUUUACCAAAAACACAGGUUUGUGCUAAAUCGAAAGAUGACGUAUACGAGCUGACGCCUGCCCGGUGCUGGAAGGUUAAGAGGAGAUGUGCAAGCAUUGAAUCGAAGCCCCAGUGAACGGCGGCCGUAACUAUAACGGUCCUAAGGUAGCGAAAUUCCUUGUCAGGUAAG